RNAcentral lists this ribosomal RNA (417 nucleotides) under uncultured bacterium. Its description in RNAcentral is "bacterial SSU rRNA". It matches the Rfam family "Bacterial small subunit ribosomal RNA", at positions 1000 to 1414 of the family's 1533-position model. The record is from RNAcentral.
GCCGAAAGACGGGGGUGCCCGCAAGGGAGCGCGGAGACAGGUGGUGCAUGGCUGUCGUCAGCUCGUGUCGUGAGAUGUUGGGUUAAGUCCCGCAACGAGCGCAACCCUCACCCCUUGUUGCCAUCAGGUCAGGCUGGGCACUCUAGGGGAACUGCCCCGGUCAACGGGGAGGAAGGUGGGGAUGACGUCAAGUCAUCAUGCCCCUUACGUCCUGGGCUACACACGUGCUACAAUGGCCGGUACAAAGGGAUGCAAGACCGCGAGGUGGAGCUAAACCCAAAAAGCCGGUCUAAGUUCAGAUUGGAGUCUGCAACUCGACUCCAUGAAGGAGGAAUCGCUAGUAAUCGCGCAUCAGCACGGCGCGGUGAAUACGUUCCCGGGCCUUGUACACACCGCCCGUCACACCACGAAAGCCAG